UUGAAACACUGGUUUUUCUACGAUCACUGAAGUUAAGCAAAUUCGAGCUGGGUCAUUAGCUAGAUGGGUGACCGCUUGGGAAUACCAGGUACUGUAAG
Acanthosepion pharaonis is the source of this 98-nucleotide non-coding RNA. Lineage: Eukaryota; Metazoa; Mollusca; Cephalopoda; Sepiida; Sepiidae. The record is from the annotation of a GenBank genome assembly.